This 257-nucleotide ribosomal RNA is filed under the name uncultured bacterium. Its description in RNAcentral is "partial 16S ribosomal RNA". It matches the Rfam family "Bacterial small subunit ribosomal RNA", at positions 99 to 354 of the family's 1533-position model. The record is from RNAcentral.
CGGACGGGUGAGUAACGCGUGGGCAACCUGCCUCAUACGGGGGGAUAGCAUCGGGAAACCGGUGGUAAAACCGCAUAAGCGCACGAAGACGCAUGUAUUCGUGUGAAAAGGAGAAAUCUGGUAUGAGAUGGACCCGCGUCUGAUUAGCUAGUUGGAGUGGUAAAAGCACACCAAGGCGACGAUCAGUAGCCGGCCUGAGAGGGUGGACGGCCACAUUGGGACUGAGACACGGCCCAGACUCCUACGGAAGGCAGCAG